UUUAAUUAUCUUGUGAAUAACAGUAUUUCUACAUAUACAAGGCAAAGAUCUUGGAUCCUAAUUGUUUUAUAUAUGUUUAUAUAGCUUUGAAUUUAUUUAUUGUUGUACAAGUCAAAUUGUAGAUAUAAUUCUGAAAACAGAAAGUAAAAUAUUAGUUGGUAAGCUGGGAAAAGAAAUUCUAUCGUCAUAUAUCUUAUUGAAGUUUUUGACCUCAUAAUCUUAAUUUUAUAACAGAAAGAUGACAACUGAAAGAUGGAUGAUGUACAACCUCUAAAAUUUUAUGACAGUAUUUAUUUUAUUUUAUUUUAUUUUAAAAUAUUUAAGUUUGGUAAUAUUCAAGCUACCUUGUCAAAGUAAUUAUUAACACAACUCAAUGCUUUACUAUACAAAUAAUGAAGGUUUUCAUAGAGGGUCAAAAAUUAGAAGUAAUAGUUCAUUGUUUUAAUAUAGAGCAAGAUAAAAAAAAUAAAAUAAAUAAAAUGUAGAAACCCCAAGUUCAA
Molecule: long non-coding RNA, 500 nt
Filed under: Physcomitrium patens
Lineage: Eukaryota; Viridiplantae; Streptophyta; Bryopsida; Funariales; Funariaceae
Description: long non-coding RNA (PPAT_LNC004841)
Source: RNAcentral